GACCAAUGUCUAUUCACGAUUUGGUCUGGCGAGACCUGGUCCAGCUCUGGUCGUGCAGACGAGGAAGAUGAUAUGGACGUCGUGGAUCCUGACCACCAUGACACGCAGAAGAGGUUAGAUCCUCCAGUUGAGGAGCUGACCGAGGAGAUCCGUGGCGCGUCCGAGGAAGCGAAGGGCAUGGCCCUGGAAACCCUAUCUCUCUCAAGGUAAUCUUGUUUCCCUUUGCACAAUCUAGCUAGUUCGGACGAGCUCCGUUUUGUUAUCUAAUCUACUUGGUGUUGUUUGGCAGGAAACCAGAGGAAGCCGUUGAGCAUCACCAUGGUGAUCCCGCUGGACUUCAGCAACCAUGUAUGCAUGGUACUAGAGCAAUUGUGUUGUUUAAAUGUAAAACCUGCUGCCGCCAUCUGUGAUGAUGCCUAUGUCGACCGAAAG
Long non-coding RNA from Lolium rigidum, 432 nucleotides. RefSeq lists it as uncharacterized. Lineage: Eukaryota; Viridiplantae; Streptophyta; Magnoliopsida; Poales; Poaceae. The record is from RefSeq and is a predicted model, not a curated record. The transcript is spliced from 3 exons.